CAAUAGCGUAUAUUAAAGUUGUUGCAGUUAAAAAGCUCGUAGUUGAAUUUUUGCUUGCCGCCGAUGUCGGAACUUCCGUACGUUCGGCGGCGUGCAUCCUUGGGUGGAACCUGUGUGGCAUUAGGUUGUCGUGCAGGGGAUGCUCAUCGUUUACUGUGAAAAAAUUAGAGUGUUCAAAGCAGGCUUAUGCCGUUGAAUAUAUUAGCAUGGAAUAAUAAGAUAGGACCUUGGUACUAUUUUGUUGGUUUGCGCACCGAGGUAAUGAUUAACAGGGACAGUUGGGGGUAUUCGUAUUCCAUUGUCAGAGGUGAAAUUCUUGGAUUUCUGGAAGACGAACUACUGCGAAAGCAUUUACCAAGGAUGCUUUCAUUAA
Molecule: ribosomal RNA, 373 nt
Filed under: uncultured eukaryote
Lineage: Eukaryota
Description: partial 18S ribosomal RNA
Rfam family: Eukaryotic small subunit ribosomal RNA
Source: RNAcentral